CAUCGGCUGAGGAGUCCCAAAACAGGGCGAAACGGCCGUCCAGUGC
RNAcentral lists this non-coding RNA (46 nucleotides) under Schistosoma bovis. Lineage: Eukaryota; Metazoa; Platyhelminthes; Trematoda; Strigeidida; Schistosomatidae. The record is from RNAcentral. RNAcentral also lists the same sequence under 1 other name.